RNAcentral lists this ribosomal RNA (472 nucleotides) under uncultured soil bacterium. RNAcentral's name for it is "bacterial SSU rRNA". It matches the Rfam family "Bacterial small subunit ribosomal RNA", at positions 8 to 524 of the family's 1533-position model. The record is from RNAcentral.
AGAGUUUGAUCCUGGCUCAGAACGAACGCUGGCGGCAGGCCUCAAACAUGCAAGUCUAGGGGGUGUAGCAAUACAUCACCGGCGGACGGGUGCGUAACGCGUGGGAAUGUACCUAUUGGUUCGGAACAACUGAGGGAAACUUCAGCUAAUACCGGAUGAGCCCGAAAGGGGAAAGAUUUCUCGCCAAUGGAUCAGCCCGCGUCCGAUUAGCUAGUUGGUGGGGUUAUGGCCUACCAAGGCAACGAUCGGUAGCUGUUCUGAGAGGAAGAUCAGCCACACUGGGACUGAGACACGGCCCAGACUCCUACGGGAGGCAGCAGUUGGGAAUCUUGGACAAUGGGGGAAACCCUGAUCCAGCCAUGCCGCGUGAGUGAUGAAGGCCUUCGGGUUGUAAAACUCUUUCGACGGGGACGAUAAUGACGGUACCCGUAGAAGAAGCUCCGGCUAACUUCGUGCCAGCAGCCGCGGUAAU